GUGCCAGCCGCCGCGGUAAUACAGAGGGUGCAAGCGUUGUCCGGAAUGAUUGGGCGUAAAGCAUUUGUAGGUGGUUUCUAAAGUCAACUGUUAAAUCCCAGAGCUCAACUUUGGACAAGCAGUUGAGUACUUAGGGACUUGAGUAUGGUAGGGGUAGAGGGAAUUCCUAGUGGAGCGGUGAAAUGCACAGAGAUUAGGAAGAACACCAGUGGCGAAAGCGCUCUACUGGGCCAUUACUGACGCUGAGAGAUGAAAGUCGGGGGAGCGAAAAGGAUUAGAUACCCUUGUAGUCCCGACCGUAAACGAUGGAUACUAAGUGCUGUCAAAAACAGUGCUGUAGCUAACGCGUUAAGUAUCCCGCCUGGGGAGUAUGCUCGCAAGAGUGAAACUCAAAGGAAUUGACGGGG
This 407-nucleotide ribosomal RNA is filed under the name uncultured cyanobacterium. Its description in RNAcentral is "bacterial SSU rRNA". It matches the Rfam family "Bacterial small subunit ribosomal RNA", at positions 505 to 918 of the family's 1533-position model. The record is from RNAcentral. Lineage: Bacteria; Bacillati; Cyanobacteriota.